CAGUCGCCGCGGUAAUACGUAGGGGGCAAGCGUUAUCCGGAAUAACUGGGCGUAAAGGGUGCGCAGGUGGUUUAACAAGUUAGUAGUGAAAGGCAUAGGUUCAACCAAUGUAAGCCAUUAAAACUGUUUAACUUGAGUGCAGGAGAGGAAAGUGGAAUUCCUAGUGUAGCGGUGAAAUGCGUAGAUAUUAGGAGGAAUACCAGUGGCGAAAGCACUCUGCUGGGCCGACACUGACACUGAGAGACGAAAGCUAGGGGAGCAAAUGGGAUUAGAUACCCGUGUAGUCCCUGUCUCUUAUCAA
This 301-nucleotide ribosomal RNA is filed under the name uncultured bacterium. Its description in RNAcentral is "partial 16S ribosomal RNA". It matches the Rfam family "Bacterial small subunit ribosomal RNA", at positions 509 to 809 of the family's 1533-position model. The record is from RNAcentral.